RNAcentral lists this ribosomal RNA (495 nucleotides) under uncultured bacterium. RNAcentral describes it as "partial 16S ribosomal RNA". It matches the Rfam family "Bacterial small subunit ribosomal RNA", at positions 29 to 506 of the family's 1533-position model. The record is from RNAcentral.
AUGAACGCUGGCGGCGUGCCUAAUACAUGCAAGUCGAGCGCACAGACGAGGAGCUUGCUCCUCUGACGUUAGCGGCGGACGGGUGAGUAACACGUGGAUAACCUACCUAUAAGACUGGGAUAACUUCGGGAAACCGGAGCUAAUACCGGAUAAUAUAUUGAACCGCAUGGUUCCAUAGUGAAAGACGGUUUUGCUGUCACUUAUAGAUGGAUCCGCGCCGCGUUAGCUAGUUGGUAAGGUAACGGCUUACCAAGGCAACGAUGCGUAGCCGACCUGAGAGGGGGAACGGCCACACUGGAAAUGAGACAGGGUACAGAGACCUACGGGAGGCAGCAGGAGGGAAUCUUCCGGAAUGGGCGAAAGCCUGACGGAGCAACGCCGCGGGAGUGAUGAAGGUCUUCGGAACGUAAAACUCUGUUAUUAGGAAAAAAAAAAAGGGUAAGUAACUAUGCACGUCUUGACGGGACCGAAUCAGAAAGCCACGGCUAACUACGU